RNAcentral lists this ribosomal RNA (277 nucleotides) under uncultured bacterium. RNAcentral describes it as "partial 16S ribosomal RNA". It matches the Rfam family "Bacterial small subunit ribosomal RNA", at positions 28 to 301 of the family's 1533-position model. The record is from RNAcentral.
GGCGAACGCUGGCGGCGGGCUUAACACAUGCAAGUCGUACGCGGGGCUCUCCUUCGGGAGGGCUGCCGAGUGGCGAACGGGUGCGUAACGCGUAGGUAACCUGCCCUCGAGUGGGGGAUAACCCCGGGAAACCGGGGCUAAUACCGCAUAUUGUCUUAGCAUCGCAUGAUGCUAAGAUGAAAGCCUUUGGGCGCUCGAGGAGGGGCCUGCGUCGGAUUAGCUAGUUGGUGGGGUAAUGGCCCACCAAGGCGACGAUCCGUAGCUGGUCUGAGAGGAC